This 1957-nucleotide long non-coding RNA is filed under the name Homo sapiens (human). RNAcentral's name for it is "HSALNT0281763". Lineage: Eukaryota; Metazoa; Chordata; Mammalia; Primates; Hominidae. The record is from RNAcentral.
CUUGCAGUUUGAAUUUAUAUUUUAUUAUUUUGAAAUACAAAAAUUUAAAAACAUUUCAAAAUACACCAGUACAUGUUUGUUGUAAAAAUUUCACCUAGGAGGAUAUAAAAUAGAAAAGCCGAAUAUUCCUUCUAACUCUCCCCUCUACCUCAAUUCCCUUCAGAGGUAACACAGCAAAAAAAAACUGGGGAAAAGCAAACAACUUUCCAGACCUCUACUAUUCUAAAACACAAAGAGCAUUACAGCUUGCUAUGCAUUUUUUUUUUUGGGGGGGGGGGGUUGUUUUUUAGAGACGGAGUCUCCCUCUGUCACCCAGGCUGGAAUGCAGUGGUGUGAUCUCGGCUCACUGCAACCUCCACCUCCCCAGUUCAAGCGAUUCUCCUGCCUCAGCCUGCCGAGUAGCUGGGAUUACAGGCACGCGCCACCACGCCCAGCUAAUUUUUGUAGUUUUAGUAGAGACAGCGUUUCGCCACAUUGGCCAGGUUGGUCUCAAACUCCUGACCUCAGGUGAUCCGCCCUACUCAGCCUCCCAAAGUGCUGGGAUUACAGGCGCGAGUCACUGCGCCCAGCUGCUAUACAUUGUUAAACCUUUUGCUUUCUAGUUAAUAUGUCUUAGAGAUCACUGCAUGACCACAGUGCAGCAUCGCUUCAUUCUUUCCAACAGUUGCAUAAGAUCCUGUAGUAUGGAUGUGCUACACUUUAACAGUGCUGCUGUACACAUCCUGUUGUGCACACCCUUGUGCCCAGGUGCACAGUUCUGUUAAAUAGAAAGAUAUGAACAGGUUGAUGCCUCUAUACAUCCUUGUAUUUAUAUCUACUUCAGUGGCUGGCACAUGGUGGACCCUUGAUAAAAGCUUCUUGGAUAGAUAGGCAGAAACUAACUAGACACAGGUAUAAAAUGGAAGCGUUCAUAACCCAAAGUUCCUAAAAUUAGAAGUCAGAUCUUAAAUUGGUUAGUGAAUCAAGAUUCCAUUUGAUCCCAAGUUUUGUACCUCACAUCUAGAAGCUCUGAAAUAUUUCACUAAGUUUCCUCGUUUGGAAGAGUUGUGAGAUGAAUGAAAUUUCUUUCUUUACUGUUGAAGUUUUCUCAAGGAAUUUCAUGAAAUAAAGGGAGAAAGAAAAUGUAAGACUAAAGACUAAAUACUACCUGGACAGAUUAAAGGAGGAAGUUACAGGCACAUUUGCACUCAUCUGGGCUUUACAAAGUGAUAUUAAGUGCAUUUUAAUGUAAAAAUAUACACCAAAUAAACCCCUGCCCUCCACCCAUUCUACAGAUGACAUCCUUGGUGGGCGGCUGGAUAGGCACACAUCUUCACUGGGCUUGGAAUGGAGCCUUUCCUGCAGGCAGUGAGGAACAUGGCAAUUCUGUUCCUGAAGGUCCACAGGCAACUUGACCCAGUUAAGUACCACUGGCCUUGGAAACAAGUAGAUGCGGGGAAAGGCGAAAGUGAGGCCGACUCCACGGACCACUGCCUAUGAUGGGGCAGUCAUUGCGCAGUUUGGGAAACCAGCAGGAGGAACUCAGGAGUGGAUGACUUUAGGGGUAAAAGGUAUAGAAGAAGCAUGAACGAAUGUGUGAAUUUGUUGAAAGAAAAUGAUGUCUUUGAAUUUCCACAAGAAUGUUGCAAUUUCAUUUUUAAAUUUCGUAACAAAGGACCAGGCUUAGCUAAUAGUAUAACUAACAUUUAGGCCUGUGAAUACUCCCAAGCUAUGAGGGGACCCUUCAGUCAAAUAUUCACUGAGCAUGUGAGGGCCAGGCCCUGGGAGCUUACUUUUCAAAAGUGUACCAUAAACCAGCUGCCAAGCGAGAAGCUCCCCUGCUCCUGCCUGACAUCCCCGCUUGUAAUGCUGGCCUGGGUCCUGCCUGUCCACUGGUCACUCGAGUCACCAUUCUCCAGCUCCCCACAGACCAGCCUGGGCCCACCUCCUUCCACCUGAGUAGCUGAGAAUAAAGGUG